CCUACGGGAGGCAGCAGUAGGGAAUCUUCCGCAAUGGACGAAAGUCUGACGGAGCAACGCCGCGUGAGCGAAGAAGGUCUUCGGAUCGUAAAGCUCUGUUGUUAGGGAAGAACAAGUACCGUUCAAAUAGGGCGGUACCUUGACAGUACCUAACCAGAAAGCCACGGCUAACUACGUGCCAGCAGCCGCGGUAAUACGUAGGUGGCAAGCGUUAUCCGGAAUUAUUGGGCGUAAAGCGCGCGCAGGCGGUCCUUUAAGUCUGAUGUGAAAGCCCACGGCUCAACCGUGGAGGGUCAUUGGAAACUGGGGGACUUGAGUGCAGAAGAGGAGAGCGGAAUUCCACGUGUAGCGGUGAAAUGCGUAGAGAUGUGGAGGAACACCAGUGGCGAAGGCGGCUCUCUGGUCUGUAACUGACGCUGAGGCGCGAAAGCGUGGGGAGCGAACAGGAUUAGAUACCCUGGUAGUCCACGCCGUAAACGAUGAGUGCUAAGUGUUAGAGGGCUUCCGCCCUUUAGUGCUGCAGCAAACGCAUUAAGCACUCCGCCUGGGGAGUACGGUCGCAAGACUGAAACUCAAAUGAAUUGACGGGG
RNAcentral lists this ribosomal RNA (590 nucleotides) under uncultured Bacillus sp. RNAcentral's name for it is "bacterial SSU rRNA". It matches the Rfam family "Bacterial small subunit ribosomal RNA", at positions 338 to 918 of the family's 1533-position model. Lineage: Bacteria; Bacillati; Bacillota; Bacilli; Caryophanales; Bacillaceae. The record is from RNAcentral.